UACGUAGGGGGCAAGCGUUGUCCGGAAUCAUUGGGCGUAAAGAGCGUGUAGGCGGUUCGGUAAGUCGGCUGUGAAAGUCCAGGGCUCAACCCUGGGAUGCCGGUCGAUACUGCCGGACUAGAGUUCGGAAGAGGCGAGUGGAAUUCCCGGUGUAGCGGUGAAAUGCGCAGAUAUCAGGAGGAACACCAAUGGCGAAGGCAGCUCGCUGGGACGUGACUGACGCUGAGACGCGAAAGCGUGGGGAGCAAACAGG
RNAcentral lists this ribosomal RNA (253 nucleotides) under uncultured bacterium. Its description in RNAcentral is "partial 16S ribosomal RNA". It matches the Rfam family "Bacterial small subunit ribosomal RNA", at positions 524 to 776 of the family's 1533-position model. The record is from RNAcentral.